UUGUCUCCUUUUUCUUUCUUCUCCUUACCUUAUUUUUCUGCAUUUCCUGCCUCCCCUCCCCUCGCCCCUCGCUCUGCCUGCUCAGCGGUGCCGGCAUCGGGGCGCUUUCGGGGGGAUGCAGUGAAUUCCAGCCGGAGCCCCCGCAGGCUGGCCGCUCUCUGCUAUUCUUUCAGGUCUCCAGCCCUACUCUCUCUGCAGGAAACAGAGGAGCUGAUCCAAGUUCAAAGUCACGUCGCCGUCCCUCCUAAGAAGUGCUUUAUUUGCCUCUGAACCGCAAAACCCCUUUCCCCCAUGUCACAGGGUAACAAGGGAAGGGAGCGAGGGAGGAAGGGAGGAAGGGAGGGGGGCAGAGGCACCGGCAGCCAGCCCCGCACUCUCUCGUCGGGCCACGGCCACGAACACAGCCUGCGGCUCACGGCAGCUUUCGAGGGAGGAAAGCAAGUGGUCACCCAAAGUCGGUGCUGAACUGGUUUAUUGAAAGAAGUUUUUCAACAGGUUUCUGGAGGUGCCAGACCUACAGAGCAAACGUCAGCUUCCCCGGGAAAGCUUUCCCGUCUUUCCUUUUCCCGAGAGAUGUCACCGCCCUCUGGGGAGGCUCCGCGCCCCCUUUCUCCAUCCCCCCUCCCUGGCAGCCAUGGGUGCCGCAGUGGGAGCGCAGGCUGCGGUGGGACCGGGGGCUCUGUCCAUGGGAGGAUGCGGCUGGCGACGGCUUCGUCGGGAAAAGGAGGUGGAAUGACCCACUGGAGACGGGUGUGUGUGCGUAUGAGAGAGAGAGGAAAAGGGGGAAGAAGGUGUCUUUCCCCCAAAAUUCAGCCGUCCAACACAGUAAAGGGACGAGGUGCGGGGCGAGGAGGAGGAGGAGUGUGGCCAGCCCGUAGCCUGGUGAGAAGAGGCCAGUUGAGCGGCAUCACUUGCACCGUUGUCUGUAUCACAGACGCUCAUAAAUUCAACAAGCUCAUCAACAGGAUAUUAAGUUGCAGGUUACCUUUGAUGGUGCCGAUCCGAGCCACUUCUAGGCCGUUCGACCUAUGACCCGUGAAGACCACAUGUGUUGUGCUGUAGCCUCCCUCUGUAAAACACACACUUCGAGACAAAAGUUCUUUGUCAGGCUCUACCGGCAGAGUAAUGUAAAAGGAAAAGGGGAAAUAAUGAAAAUCUCAGCCAAAGCUGUAACUUUUAAACGCUUCUUUAAAAUCUAAAAUAGAAAAAAAAAAUGAAAAAAGAAAAGAAAAAAAAAAAAGGAAAAAAUACUCUAGGCAGGGUAGGGACAGAAGGAGGGAGCACCUCGCUUUUGUGCCAUUAAUAUUUAUUGUUCCUUCAGUUGCGCUUGUAUAUGUAUAAAACCUCGCUCUCAGCAGCAAUGCCAUGAGACGGCGGGGGCCAGGAGCAGUGUAGCACUUUUUUCCAGGACGGGAACCUCGGCUGAGCGGCAGCCGGUGCCUCUGCCCUGCCCAGCUGCGGCUGAGGGACGCGCAGCGCCGCGUAUUUUGCGCGCCCUGCUCAUCCUGCAGCCAGCACAGACCGGCGCAACGCCUCCCAAAAUGGGGUCUGCUGCAGCACUGCCGGGUUUUAUUACAUGCACCUUUUUCCAUCUGGAGAUGCCCAUAUAAACGUUAGAGGCCGGGGAGAAGAGUCCCAAUAAGGCGCGAUGGACUUUGUAAUACAAUUUAUGCUGUCAUUCAUAAAUAACAAUGCCAUAUGGUAACCAUAUUGCUUAUACAAGUAAAGCCGUCAAAGUGUCACUGUUUGAUUUAUCUCAACAGCUUCUUCCAACGGUGACGUUCAGAGAGAGGGGAAGUGGAAAAGAGAGAGAGAGCAGAGCAAAAUUUGGCCUGGGUUUCCUGAGACCGCCUCUCUCUUUAUCUCUUUCUUUCUAUAUAUGGAUAGAUAGAUAGAUAGAUAGAUAGAUAGAUAGAUAGAUAGAUAGAUAGAUAGAUAGAUAGAAGAAAUUUUUUUUCUUAUUUUUGUCCCUAUUUGAGCAAAGGGGAUGGCCCCUCUUUCCCCGACGAGGCGCACACUGAACACGAUAGCUCCGAAACUUAUGCUCGUAAAUUCCUGUCCCAAAAGUGCAGCGGGUCCCGGCCCCGACAGCCCCUAGCCUGGACGUCGAAUCCUUGCCUCAGGCUCCCGCUUGGAUGCACGGAGCGACGACAUUUGGCACAGCAGAAGUUUAAUUUUAAAGAGUAUAAACGAUCUAUCCGCUGAGCCCCUCCAAAAAUAAGGGGUGGGGAGUCUCACUGCCAUAUCGCUACUCUCUCUUUCCCUUUCACGCCCCUGGGCAGCCUGGGCGGCUCUCGGCCGAGGUCCCUGCGCCUCUGUGCUAUUCCCCCCGACAGGACAGUGAGCAGGGUGCCGUGGGGACGUCCUGCCCGUGUGGGUCUCCAUGGGGCUGUGACUCGGGGAGCUCCCUCCUGCUGUGGGCGGACUCCACCUCCCAUCCCGCAUGUUCGCGGGGGGAACCGCGCCACGGGCUCCCCCUGCGCCGCAAAGCAGCCCCACGAGCGUAGAAAGCCACCGGCGACGGGCCGGGAGGCAGGCAGGCUUUUCUGGCAUAUCUGGGGAGUCUUGCAGGUCUUCCCGAGGAAAGCGGCAACCGCGCUCCCUUUCUAAUGGUUCCCCAGAAGAAUGCUUUACACGUUUAAAAUAUUGCUCCCCGCUCCCUAACUAUCAAUAAGACGUGCAUUAAAGACGAUUGUUUGUAAAUGGUGUUCAUGAUCAUUAGCAUACAUUUACAUAAUGCAGCUCACAGCGCAGCGUUUUACAGUUAAACACCUCCUAAAGCCGAUAGCCCGAGCUCAGUUUAUAGAGGAAGCUUUACGAAAUAAAUUUUAAGGCUUCCAGGCUUUCACCUCGCCUCUGCAGCCUCCCCCGAUGUCCCUUGGCAGGUUUGCCGACGAGCCGAGCGCAGCGGGAGAGCUCUGCAGCCGGCUCCGCCGCGGGAACAGGGCGCGUUCCGACCCUCGACGGAUGCUGUCGGGGUUGUGGGGGGGCUGUGGGGGUAACACAGCACGCCUCCCCUCUGCUGCAGCCCCAGAGAGCAGCGGCAGCCUGGGCCUGAGCUGGUGUCGGUGAGUUAAUGGGCUUUAAAUUCUUCAUGGUUCUUUUGGAGCUGGCAGAGUCCAAAAUUGUCUCUGCGAGGGCAGCCACCUUCUCUUCCUGGUGUUUGCAGCCAGUCCUAAAAAUGAGCGAAUUUCCACGUGAGUCUCCAUCAACCCCUCCCUCUCCAUAGUCACAGGUCAGCUGCCUAUUAGCCAGCUAUAAAAUAUUUUCAUUUUUUAUAGCCUCCCAUAAAAAGAAAUUGAUCGGGGUAUAUAUUUGAAUUAAGACAUAUUAAAUCGAUGACAGAUACACAUCACCUGCGUUUAACAGGAGAGGGACAAGAAGGUAUGCAGAAGGUUCUGCGGAGCUGUGAUAUUUGUUUUUCACCUCCACAGCAUCUCCCGUCAAACCAUUCCAUCUCCAGCAACGCACGCAGAAUAUGGGGAGGAGGGAAGGCACUAUUUGGAUGAACCUAUAGAAAAUAUACCUAUAUAAAUACCCGUAUAGACGUAUGGCUACUUUGCGUGAAGUUUUUACUGUGCAAUAAAACCAUCAAGCAGCCGCUUUUAUAACCAGGGGGUCAUUUAUUCCCAUUCCUUGCCUUGCAGCAUCACUGAAACCCCCACGGCUGCCACGCGAGCCGGGAGCAUUGGCUUGUCUCCGGCGUGGGACAAAUUCUGCGAGUUUUCCCCCGCGAGUAGCGGCGGGAGAGGUGGAGGAGGGGGAGCCUGGAGCCUGGCCCAGGAAAUGCCGAACCAGCACGGGGCUUCCUUUGAACGUGGCUUGGCACAGGAAAGCGGCCAAGACGCACAGAUGUAGUUUCGUCAAGGGGAUUAGGUGGCCGGGGAGAGCCGGGGGUGUGUGCGGGUCCACUGGCGUCCCCCGCCCCGUUUCCUCUCCUGGAGAGACGGAGAAGCGUCCCAGGCUGCCCCGCAGAGAGGGAAGGGCAGCCAGCUUGCCUGCACUUUCCAGGAGUGCGAGAGCUCAAGGCAUUCCUGGGGACACUAACAGCCUGAAGAAAGCAGAUGACAUAUCAAUAAAAGCUAUUUCUCCUCCCACGGAAAA
RNA transcript from Catharus ustulatus (Swainson's thrush), 4104 nucleotides. RefSeq lists it as uncharacterized. Lineage: Eukaryota; Metazoa; Chordata; Aves; Passeriformes; Turdidae. The record is from RefSeq and is a predicted model, not a curated record. The transcript is spliced from 3 exons.